UAGGGAAUCUUCCGCAAUGGACGCAAGUCUGACGGAGCAACGCCGCGUGAGUGAAGAAGGAUUUCGGUUCGUAAAACUCUGUUGUUAGAGAAGAACAGCGCAUAGAGUAACUGUUAUGCGUGUGACGGUAUCUAACCAGAAAGCCACGGCUAACUACGUGCCAGCAGCCGCGGUAAUACGUAGGUGGCAAGCGUUGUCCGGAUUUAUUGGGCGUAAAGCGAGCGCAGGCGGUCAAUUAAGUCUGAUGUGAAAGCCCCCGGCUCAACCGGGGAGGGUCAUUGGAAACUGGUUUACUUGAGUGCAGAAGAGGAUAGUGGAAUUCCAUGUGUAGCGGUGAAAUGCGUAGAUAUAUGGAGGAACACCAGUGGCGAAGGCGACUCUCUGGUCUGUAACUGACGCUGAGGCUCGAAAGCGUGGGUAGCAAACAGG
RNAcentral lists this ribosomal RNA (429 nucleotides) under Bacteroidota bacterium. RNAcentral describes it as "Bacteroidetes bacterium partial 16S ribosomal RNA". It matches the Rfam family "Bacterial small subunit ribosomal RNA", at positions 355 to 776 of the family's 1533-position model. Lineage: Bacteria; Pseudomonadati; Bacteroidota. The record is from RNAcentral.